RNAcentral lists this ribosomal RNA (253 nucleotides) under uncultured bacterium. Its description in RNAcentral is "partial 16S ribosomal RNA". It matches the Rfam family "Bacterial small subunit ribosomal RNA", at positions 524 to 776 of the family's 1533-position model. The record is from RNAcentral.
UACGAAGGGGGCUAGCGUUGCUCGGAAUGACUGGGCGUAAAGGGCGCGUAGGCGGUUUGGACAGUCAGAUGUGAAAUUCCUGGGCUCAACCUGGGGGCUGCAUUUGAUACGCUCGGACUAGAGUGGGGAAGAGGGUCGUGGAAUUCCCAGUGUAGAGGUGAAAUUCGUAGAUAUUGGGAAGAACACCGGUGGCGAAGGCGGCGACCUGGCCCUUGACUGACGCUGAGGCGCGAAAGCGUGGGGAGCAAACAGG